GGUGCAGUAUGAUGAUGACGACUGGUUACCUUACAACUGGAGAAACCUUUCCACAUACCCUGGAAACCUCAACUCUGUCAUUCUGCAACUGUCACCAUUCAUUAUCUAUGAGUUUAGGGUCAUUGCUAUCAAUGAUAUUGGAAUGAGUAAACCCAGUCGCUCGUCCGCCAACUUCCAGACUGGUGGAGCGUCCCCAGACACCAUCCCUAAAAAUAUCAAAGGAGUUUGCACAUGGAGAAACAACAUGGAGAUCAGCUGGCACUGAACAACAGAGAGUGGAAUGGGCCCCACCUGAAGUACUUGGUGUGGUGGAAACGGAGGGAUUCCAGGGAGGAGUGGAAGAACGCUACCACUUGGUGGUGUAAAUACUACAUCUACGACGCAGACACCUUCACACCAUACGAGAUAAAGGUCCAGGCUGUCAAUGACUUUGGGCUGGGCCCAGAGUCCCCUGUC
Oncorhynchus masou masou (cherry salmon) is the source of this 456-nucleotide long non-coding RNA. RefSeq lists it as uncharacterized. NCBI's taxonomy places the organism in Eukaryota, Metazoa, Chordata, Actinopteri, Salmoniformes, Salmonidae. The transcript is spliced from 3 exons. The record is from RefSeq and is a predicted model, not a curated record.